UUCGGGCGGUAGCAUGGGGUACUGCAUAUGUUUCAAGCCACCCAGUGGUCGCUUCCACCAUGGUAAGCACAUAACGCUUACCAUUGCGAGAUCUUGGCAGGGUGAUAUGGGGAACGUAGUUCUUCUUCUCUUCCAGACAGGUACCCGGAACUAAAGCAUUUGCUCCUUAGCUCCCAGUACACUGCAUGAUGUUGUGAUGUGGAAUACUGAUAACCAAAAAUCAUAAAACCAUGACAUUCCACCCCUUAUUCUACAUCAUUACAGCAUGCUUAAUAUAUACAAACAGACAUAAUUAUAAUCAAUUAUCCAACACUGAACACAUGUACAUAUACUUGGAAUUACUGAUUCCGCUCUCCCAUCAUCAAAUUCCCUUGUGGCACACAAUGAACAUCCCCAUUUUUCUGCAUCACCCACCAAGUGCACCCAGGUCCCUGGGCAAAAACAGUUCCGUGAAGAGGUUUGCCCUUCCCAGAAGCUGGAAGGACCCAAACUGCUUUUCCCAGCAUGUUCUUUACAUGUACUACAGGGACCUUAUCUCCCUUUACAGUAUGUAGGGAGCUGGCAGGACCAUCACGAUUGAUAGAUCCUCGAGUAUUCACCAACCAGGUGGCUUCGGCCAAAUGCUUCUCCCAGUGCUUAAAUGUUCCGCCACCCAUUGCUUUCAACAUGGUUUUUAACAACCCGUUGUAUCAUUCAAUUUUACCAGAAGCUGGUGCGUGAUAGGGGAUAUGAUAAAUCCACUCAAUGCCAUGAUCUUUGGCCCAAGUAUUUACAAGGGAAUUUUUGCAAUGAGUCCCAUUAUCUGAUUCGACUCUCUCUGGGGUACCAUGUCACCAGAGAACUUGUUCCUCGAGGCCUAAUAUGGUGUUUCGGGCGGUAGCAUGGGGUACUGCAUAUGUUUCAAGCCACCCAGUGGUCGCUUCCACCAUGGUAAGCACAUAACGCUUACCAUUGCGAGAUCUUGGCAGGGUGAUAUGGGGAACGUAGUUCUUCUUCUCUUCCAGACAGGUACCCGGAACUAAAGCAUUUGCUCCUUAGCUCCCAGUACACUGCAUGAUGUUGUGAUGUGGAAUACUGAUAACCAAAAAUCAUAAAACCAUGACAUUCCACCCCUUAUUCUACAUCAUUACAGCAUGCUUAAUAUAUACAAACAGACAUAAUUAUAAUCAAUUAUCCAACACUGAACACAUGUACAUAUACUUGGAAUUACUGAUUCCGCUCUCCCAUCAUCAAAUUCCCUUGUGGCACACAAUGAACAUCCCCAUUUUUCUGCAUCACCCACCAAGUGCACCCAGGUCCCUGGGCAAAAACAGUUCCGUGAAGAGGUUUGCCCUUCCCAGAAGCUGGAAGGACCCAAACUGCUUUUCCCAGCAUGUUCUUUACAUGUACUACAGGGACCUUAUCUCCCUUUACAGUAUGUAGGGAGCUGGCAGGACCAUCACGAUUGAUAGAUCCUCGAGUAUUCACCAACCAGGUGGCUUCGGCCAAAUGCUUCUCCCAGUGCUUAAAUGUUCCGCCACCCAUUGCUUUCAACAUGGUUUUUAACAACCCGUUGUAUCAUUCAAUUUUACCAGAAGCUGGUGCGUGAUAGGGGAUAUGAUAAAUCCACUCAAUGCCAUGAUCUUUGGCCCAAGUAUUUACAAGGGAAUUUUUGCAAUGAGUCCCAUUAUCUGAUUCGACUCUCUCUGGGGUACCAUGUCACCAGAGAACUUGUUCCUCGAGGCCUAAUAUGGUGUUUCGGGCGGUAGCAUGGGGUACUGCAUAUGUUUCAAGCCACCCAGUGGUCGCUUCCACCAUGGUAAGCACAUAACGCUUACCAUUGCGAGAUCUUGGCAGGGUGAUAUGGGGAACGUAGUUCUUCUUCUCUUCCAGACAGGUACCUGGAACUAAAGCAUUUGCUCCUUAGUUCAUAGAAGAUGGAUUAUUGUGGAGAAAGUGAUCGUGCAAUUUUUAUUCUCCCAGAUAUCAGCAUUAGAAAGAAAAAUCACUGAAUAAUGGAGGGUGAUGGAGGCCCAGGCUGGUGUCC
Gallus gallus (chicken) is the source of this 2026-nucleotide long non-coding RNA. NCBI's taxonomy places the organism in Eukaryota, Metazoa, Chordata, Aves, Galliformes, Phasianidae. The record is from Ensembl.